RNAcentral lists this ribosomal RNA (321 nucleotides) under candidate division WWE3 bacterium. Its description in RNAcentral is "bacterial LSU rRNA". It matches the Rfam family "Bacterial large subunit ribosomal RNA", at positions 2606 to 2925 of the family's 2925-position model. The record is from RNAcentral. Lineage: Bacteria; candidate division WWE3.
UGGGUUAAGAACGUCGUGAGACAGUUCGGUCUCUUUCCACAACGAGCGUUUGGCUUUGAGAGGACUCAUUCCUAGUACGAGAGGACCGGAAUGACAGAACCUCUAGUGUACCAGUUGUUCUACCAAGGGCAUUGCUGGGUAGCUACGUCCUGACUUGAUAAGUGCUGAAAGCAUCUAAGCACGAAGCAAACCUCAAGAUUAGAGCCGUUCCGCUUUAAGCGGACACAAUUCCUGGGAGACUACCAGGUUGAUAGGCCGUAGGUGUAAGCACAGCAAUGUGUUCAGCCAAGCGGUACUAAUUAUUUGUGAAUCUUUAGUACA